UACGAACUGUGCAAACGUUAUUCGGAAUCACUGGGCUUACAGGGUGCGUAGGCGGCUUGUUAAGUAGGGUGUGAAAGCCCCCGGCUCAACCGGGGAAUGGCGCCCUAAACUGGCGAGCUGGAGUGAGAUAGGGGUGUGCGGAACUUCCGGUGGAGCGGUGAAAUGUGUUGAUAUCGGAAGGAACGCCGGUGGCGAAAGCGGCACACUGGAUCUCAACUGACGCUGAGGCACGAAAGCCA
This 239-nucleotide ribosomal RNA is filed under the name uncultured bacterium. RNAcentral describes it as "partial 16S ribosomal RNA". It matches the Rfam family "Bacterial small subunit ribosomal RNA", at positions 524 to 762 of the family's 1533-position model. The record is from RNAcentral.